GAUGAAGAACGCAGCGAAAUGCGAUAAGUAAUGUGAAUUGCAGAAUUCAGUGAAUCAUCGAAUCUUUGAACGCACAUUGCGCCCCCUGGUAUUCCGGGGGGCAUGCCUGUCCGAGCGUCAUUACAACCCUCAAGCUCAGCUUGGUGUUGGGCCCCGCCGCCCCGGCGGGCCCUAAAGUCAGUGGCGGUGCCGUCCGGCUCCGAGCGUAGUAAUUCUUCUCGCUCUGGAGGUCCGGUCGUGUGCUCGCCAGCAACCCCCAAUUUUUUUCAGGUUGACCUCGGAUCAGGUAGGGAUACCCGCUGAACUUAAGCAUAUCAAUAAGCGGAGA
Molecule: unclassified non-coding RNA, 328 nt
Filed under: soil metagenome
Description: partial contains 5.8S ribosomal RNA, internal transcribed spacer 2, and large subunit ribosomal RNA
Rfam family: 5.8S ribosomal RNA (bases 1-120)
Source: RNAcentral